CCAGAUGCAAUCAGGCGGAGCUCCGAGUUUAUAGAGAUCGCAGGAAAGAAACCCGGGAACCGACCAUUGCUUUCUUGGAGCCCUAAGUCCGGUUCGGGCCUUACGAGUGCCUCAUCUCCGAGCUUCCCGGCUCUCUUCCUCUUCCCAAACCCUAAGCCUAGUCAGGGCGGACCCUGGUUUUGGAUGAGGAUUUCCGGUGGGAAGUGGCUGAAUUCGUUCCGGGAUAUCAAAAGGGGAGACGUGGUGCUCUAUUCUUUGUUGCGCGGGAGCUGGAAUUCAAGUCUCUAUGCCUAAGUUUUCGGUUUUUUUCUUAAGAGUUCGUUUUGUUUUCUUGAGGUGGAUGCCGGUCGGAUUUGUUUGAAGGAUCCAGGUGCAAUGCAAAUACUGGGACAGAGAACACAGGCAAAUGCUAGGGCGUUCAAGGAAUGGGCUAAUCAACCAAGUAAGGCUUUCUUAUUGAAGCUGUCAUUCUUUUUCUCCAUCUAAAAGGAGAGAAGGGGUACUGGAAUUAGAAGAAAGGAACAUGAUAUCUAAGUACCCAAUUUCCCGUCAAGUGGGGAGAAAACAUAAUCUCGAGGUGACCCACAUGAGCUCAAUAGUAGUUAUUUUCCCCUUCCAGGCAUUCCACACUGUUCUAGUAUGAAGGGCCAUCAAAGUUGACAUCAAGUUGGUCUAUGGUAUCUUACUAGAAUGCUCAGUGACAAAGGAGGCUAUCCAAUUUGCAGCCAAAUUCACCUCAUGCUAGAUGUGCCUUGCGAAGAAUGAAGUGCUCUCUCUUGCCAGUCUCCAAAUGUCAUGCAAAAAGAGGGUGGGUACCGAUCCUCUCCGCUUGUUUCUGGAUCCAUCCAAUCACCGUGAUAGAGGUGCCCUCAAUAUAAAUAAAAUCGGCUCUUAGGACUUGCCACGUAUAGCUAACGCCUGCUCAAGCCGCCCUCAAUUUUGCUUCAGGAAGAGGUAUCAAAGAUUGGACUCUCAUCAGUCGCUAUGAGCUUAUAAUUCCAGUCUCUGAUCACAAAUUCUACUCCGCUUCUACUGCCACCAUUAACUACACUGUCGUCAAAGUUGACUUUGAGGAAAAUUUAGGGUGGGAUCUCCCAAGUGAUGAACACCAUCUGGGUUGCUACAAGAGUUGAGAAGGAGUUCCGAGUAUUCCAAGUUGUCAUAGGCUCUCCAACAAUAUGUGAGUGGGUGAUCUCAGCGGCCUAUACUAAAGCUUUCUCCAAAAUGAAUAUUGGCGGUUGAAUGUUAUCUUCAAAAGUUCGAGCAUUUCUGGCUAGCCAAAUUUGAUAAACAACAUAAGUACUUAUAAUGUCGGAAUAUUUGGUAGACGAUGCACUGAUGCUACCCCUUAGAUAUGCAAGGACUGCCUUAAUAGGAGUCAUCGACUAAAGCAACUCCAGAGCCUUUAUAUCCACAUCGCUCUCCCACAUUGGAAGAGGACAUGAGCGACAGACUUCUUCAUCUCACAACAAGGGCAGGCUGGUGGUUUGUUCAUCCCUCAUUUAGUUAGAACAUCCCUAGUUGGAAAACGACUCUACACCAUCUUCUAGAUAAAUUGGGCAGGUGGACACAAGCCUCUAGAUCCAAGUACAAUUUCGCCUAUAUGCAGUCUUUCUCUAAAGAUAUCAUAAUGGUCUCUCACCAUCAGGCUACAAGUGAAUCUCCAAACCCUCACUGUUUCUCCAUGACAGGCUUAUAAGCAUUUGGUGGUUUAACCAUAUACAUUGAGAACUGUUCUGGAUUAGGUUUGGCCAAAAUGGGUGAUCCAGUGAUUCAAUUUGCUCAGCCAGAAUCAAGAAACAGAAUCUGCAGUUCCGAAGUUGAGUCCGAUUUAAGCCCUAAAAAGUAUGCUAAUUAGCAUGAAGCACAAGGCUGCCUUGCUGGUUCUGUGAUUGCAGAUCGCAGCAUUUCUGAAUUCUGAAUAUUGAGUCUCAUAUUCAGUGGAUCUAUCAAUAUGACUUCAAAUUGGCUGCAGGUUUAUGUGACCUUACAAACUCAAGGUGGAUGGAUAUGAUAUCAGAUCACUUUCCCUUGAUUGUUUGUUCGUCAAUCAAAAGAGAAUUCUGGAAUAAGAUAAUUAUUCAGUUUGGAGCAGGCUCAGCAACGUUGCUUUUUUCUACAUUGUUGUUUCUAUGCGAAUCAGUAAAAUAUCACAUGAAAAUUGAUAUUGAAGAUAGCAUUUGGACAGAAUUUCUAUUAUCCUUUGCUUCUAUUUUCUGAAUUUUUGAAAGCAUUAAAUCUUUGCUUCGA
Phoenix dactylifera (date palm) is the source of this 2250-nucleotide long non-coding RNA. RefSeq lists it as uncharacterized. The record is from RefSeq and is a predicted model, not a curated record. NCBI's taxonomy places the organism in Eukaryota, Viridiplantae, Streptophyta, Magnoliopsida, Arecales, Arecaceae.